Molecule: ribosomal RNA, 500 nt
Filed under: uncultured bacterium
Lineage: Bacteria
Description: partial 16S ribosomal RNA
Rfam family: Bacterial small subunit ribosomal RNA
Source: RNAcentral
AUUGAACGCUGGCGGAAUGCUUUACACAUGCAAGUCGAACGGCAGCACGGACUUCGGUCUGGUGGCGAGUGGCGAACGGGUGAGUAAUGUAUCGGAACGUGCCCAGUCGUGGGGGAUAACGUAGUGAAAAUUACGCUAAUACCGCAUACGAUCUAUGGAUGAAAGCGGGGGAUCGCAAGACCUCGCGCGAUUGGAGCGGCCGAUAUCAGAUUAGGUAGUUGGUGGGGUAAAGGCCCACCAAGCCAACGAUCGGUAGCUGGGCUGAGAGGACGACCAGCCACACUGGAACUGAGGCACGGUCCAGCCUCCUACGGGAGGCAGCAGUGGGGAAUUUUGGACAAUUGGCGAAAGCCUGAUCCAGCCAUUCCGCGUGCAGGAUGAAGGCCCUCGAGUUGUAAACUGCUUUUGUACAGAACGAAAAGGUUUCUACUAAUACUAGGAGCUCAUGACGGUACUGUAAGAAUAAGCACCGGCUAACUACGUGCCAGCAGCCGCAGUAA